AGUUAGUAGUAAAAUCAAAUAGGCAUAAUAGUACAGUAGUACAAAGUCUGAUCUGUGCAGUUGUAAUUUUGUACAAAGUUGUCAAAAAGUAGAAAAAAGUAUGCAAGAAAAGACAAAGGGAGAAGGGGAAGAAUGGAACAAGAGUCCUCAAGUCCAGAACAUUAUGCUUCAGAGAGGAAAUAGACUAUGGUGUGACAAACUUUUCUGUAUUAUUCGAUUUCUAGCCAUGGCUCCACGAGUUUUAGAUAGGACUUUAGUGUUCUUAGACUUGUCU
Non-coding RNA from Pelobates cultripes (western spadefoot toad), 274 nucleotides. The record is from the annotation of a GenBank genome assembly. NCBI's taxonomy places the organism in Eukaryota, Metazoa, Chordata, Amphibia, Anura, Pelobatidae.